AACCGCCGUAUACCAGACCGGUACGUACGGUGGUGUGAGAGGACAGUGAGGGAAAUAAUCCCUCACUUCCUACUCGAU
Molecule: non-coding RNA, 78 nt
Filed under: Chitinophaga terrae (ex Kim and Jung 2007)
Lineage: Bacteria; Pseudomonadati; Bacteroidota; Chitinophagia; Chitinophagales; Chitinophagaceae
Source: RNAcentral